Molecule: long non-coding RNA, 696 nt
Organism: Hemiscyllium ocellatum (epaulette shark)
Lineage: Eukaryota; Metazoa; Chordata; Chondrichthyes; Orectolobiformes; Hemiscylliidae
Exons: 3
Source: RefSeq, a predicted model, not a curated record
GGAGAGUGAAGCCCAUAGUCUCAAAAUACAGUAUUAACAAACAGUGAGGUAUUGUUGUUUGAAUGGAAUGCCUGCUAUUUUAGCUGUAAUAUUCCAUCUCUGAGUCAUAGUCAUUGGGUUCAGGCUCCAAUGCAAACAGUUCCAAUUGUACAGAAACAGGAUUGCAGCUCUAAAGCAUGGAUUGAAGUCCAAAAAUAAUUUUCACAUUUUUGGAUAUUGAUGUUUCUUUCAUUGUAAAGGCAAACAGGAUUCCUUAGCGUUGAUUACAGCUCUAAGUUUGGACAAGUUGGUUGAGAUCAAAACCGUGAAGAAGGAAAGAGGAAACCACCACAACCCAUUCUCCCUUAGCUGGUGGCUCAAGAAUCUCAGGUGUUAGACUUCCGGGGUCAGGUCCAGUCCUGUCUGCAAUACAGCCUGUGACAGUGGCAAGAACACAUUUUAAAAGUGGCCAAAGACAUUUGGGUUAAAGAGUGACAGAACCAUGCGACAGGUAACAAACACCCAAGAGUUGUUUGCCCAGUCACAGAAUAUUAAAGAGGAAGAGAGACACUAAACUGCACCGAUGAAGAGGGUGAGGGUCCAUCACUUCAUCUGCUACUGAAACCAACAGCUGGACAACAACUGUUUAGCAUCAGCACCAAUCAGUUAAGUGGAAUCUGUUGGAUGCUGCAAAGGGGCAACUUUUUGGAUUGGUGA